GUUUACUAAAUGCAACAUUCUUGCAAAGAAAUGAGAGUGAGAAUCUUACCUUGGUAGAAUCUGAGCUGAAGAACCCUAGAAGCUGCAACACUCUCCACAACAUCAUCAGAAGGUGGGUCUCUGAGUACCACCGACAGAGAAAACAUAACCGAAGCAACCAUAAGAACAGCAAGAAGCACACCCAUCGAUUUCAUGGAGCUCAGACUUGGUUUCACUGCAUCCGCUUCGCUAGACCCGGUUCGAGUGUCUGGGUUGGUCACGGGUUCACCCGCAUCCGAGCUCUUCUUGCCCCGCUUCAUAUGGCGAGACAGAGAGAAAGACGUCAGGUGAAAACCGGGUUGGAUUUUAAAGUGAGUAUUCGGGUUUAGAAGCAAGACUUGAAAACAGAGUUGGUGGUGGAGUGUGGAGUGUGGAGUGACGACAGAGAUCGGAUGAAGUCAUCAUGUGAUGUGUUUCAGAGAACAGAGAUAAACAAUGAGUACGUGGCAGAGACAACGACAACCUUUUGCUACGAUUUUACUGAACAUUACCAUCUAAAAUUGGGACAAGUCUCAUAUACAUGAUAUCUUGCUUAUUUGCGUCAUGAUAAGUACACAACUUAGGUUGAACAUUUGAAUUCACUCCGGCCUUCGCUACCAAUCAAUCAAAAGUGACAUAUAUAUUAUUAAUUAAAAAAUAUUAAAUUAAAUAAAAAAAACUACAAAAAAUAAAAAUGUUAAUUUUAACGAUGCUAACGCUUCUAGUUAAACCCUAAAUCUUAAAUUCUAAACCCUACAUCCUAAAUUCUAAACUCAAAUCCAAACCCUAGACCCUAAACCCAAAUUAUAUACCAUAUACCCUAUACCGUAAACUCUAGACCCUAAACCCAAAUUAUAUACCCUAAAUCCAAAAACUAGGCUAUAAACCAAAAUUCUAUACCUUAAACCCAAGUCCUAGACCAUAAAACCAAACCGUAAACCGUAAACCCAAAUUAUAUACCCUAAACCCAAAACCUUAACCAUAAGUCCAAACGGUAAAUCCUAAACCUAAACCGUAAACCUUAAACUCAAAUUAUAUAUCCUAAACCAAAAACCUUAACCAUAAGUCCAAACGGUAAAUCCUAAACCUAAACCGUAAAUCCUAAACCCAAAACCUAUACCCUAAACCCAAAUCCUAGACCUAAAACCCAAACGGUAAACCCUAAACCCAAACCACAAACUUAUAUGCUAUAGAGUAUGGAUUAAGGUUUACGGUUUGGGUUUACGGUCUAAAACUUGGGUUUAGGGUAUAUGGUUUAGGUCACUACAAGAAAACACACCGAAUUCCGACGGAUCUUCCGACGAGCUCUUCAUGGACACGUAUAGGUAAUAUAUAUGACACUUACAAAUGCAAAGCAAAAUUUGUUUGCCUGUACUUGCUACUUCAUUGUUUCUUCUUCUGCUUUUUUUUGUUUUCGUUUGUUGUUGUUUGCAAGAAUAUUUUAGUUGCAAAAUUCUUUUUUUCCAUAGAUGUUUUUUGUUGUGUUUUCUUCAGUCUAAUAUACUUUGUCAUUGCUCGUGACUACUGUAUUCAAGUCUGACAUAUGAACCUGUUGAAAGAAAGUUAGAGAAUACAUGAUUAGACUGUGGAAUCAGGAUAACCGUUACAUUACAAGUUUGUUAUAAGCACCAAAACCAACAGUUUUAGCUUAAUGUGGUUAAAGCGAGUAACAGUUACGCGCCACCUCCUUACUUUAAACCGUUAAAAUCUAAAUUUUAGACGCAGCCAUAGGUCUACGAUGACGUCUAUCUUACGGCAUCUUUCGUCUGCGACUUCAUCUAGACGAGUGAUCAACAAAUUUGAUUCCUUUCUUCUACUUCAUUACCAUACGAACUCGCUUAAGUCCAAUCACACCUUGAAGCAUUAUCUUGAAUCAGGAGAGCCAAUCAAAGCUCUCUUAAACUUCAAACAACGAUACAGAGAAAGCCCUCGUUUCAUAGACAGUUUCUCUGUCUUGUUCGCCAUUAAAGCUUCAUCGUCAGCUCAUAAAGGUCACUCCUUUAUGGGCCAACAGAUCCACGCUCUUGUAAGGAAACUUGGGUUUCAUAGCAUAAUCCAAAUUCAGACAUCCCUUGUCGGGUUUUACUCAACCGCAGGUGAUAUCUCUAGUGCACGCCAGGUGUUCGACGAAACGCCUGAGAAACAAAACGUAGUCUUGUGGACGGCUAUGAUUACAGCUUACGCUGAGAAUGACAAAAGUGUGCAAGCUCUUGAGAUGUUUCGACAAAUGGAAGCGGAAAGAAUUGAGCUUGAUGAGGUGAUUGUGACGGUGGCUUUAUCGGCUUGUGCUGAUCUUGGUGCGGUGCAGAUGGGAGAACGGAUUUAUUCGCAGAGCAUCAAGAGGAAACGAAGAUUGGGUAUGGAUUUAACUCUGAGAAACUCACUUCUCAACAUGUAUGUAAAAGCUGGGGAUGUUGAGAAAGCGAGGAGAGUCUUUGAUGAAACAGUGAGAAAAGAUGUGACUACUUACACGUCUAUGAUCGUGGGGUAUGCUUUAAACGGUCAAGCUCAAGAAUCAUUGGAACUCUUCAAGAAAAUGAAGAGACAAGAUUCAUCUGUGUCUCCGAACGAUGUGACUUUCAUUGGCGUCUUGAUGGCUUGUAGUCACGGUGGUUUAGUGGAAGAAGGGAAACGACAUUUCAGGAGCAUGGUUGAGGAUUACAAUCUGAAACCUAGAGAAGCUCACUUCGGAUGUAUGGUGGAUUUGCUUUGUCGUUCAGGGCGUUUAAAGGAUGCUCACGAGUUCAUAAAUCAGAUGCCUGUAAAGCCAAACGCGGUGAUUUGGAGAACACUGCUUAGUGCUUGUAGUCUUCAGGGGAAUGUUGAGCUCGGGGAAGAAGCUCAGAGACGGAUCUUUGAGUUGGAUAGUGAUCAUGUCGGAGAUUAUGUUGCGUUGUCGAAUAUCUACGCGGCGAAAGGAAUGUGGGAUGAGAAAGUGAAGAUGAGGGAUCGUGUGAGGAAGAGAAGGGAGCCUGGGAAAAGCUGGAUUGAGAUGGGAAACAAUAUAGCUGAGUUUGUUUCAGGGGGUGGUGAUGAUGAUGGGAAGCUAAUGGUGGGAGAGAUUAGUGAGGUUUUGAGGAGUUUAGUUACUUGUAUGAAAAAUUAUGAUUAUGCGGUGGAGAAUUUUAACUCAAGUUGUUAAGGUAUAAGAUGAGGGAUUCUUUGUAUAUUAAAUCUUUACUAGAGGAAAUUUACUCUUUGUGAGAACUGUUCCAAUUUUUGUGAAAGGUUACAAUUUUUCAUUCUAUGAACAGAGCACCGAACAAAUCAUGUGAAACAGGAAAAGAUGUUUCAAUCGAAGAUCAAAAUGUUUUUUGUACAAUAAAAUAGUUCUGAACACUACGUGUUGUGUUCUUUUUUUUUUUUUUAUGGUUAGUAAUUUAUUCUUGUUCUUUGAUAAUCUCUUGUAGCUGGAGCUUUCACAGUAGCAGUAACUGGUGUUGUGGCAAGCAGAGCUGCCUAGCGUGGAGUCCUAUGUGGGACUGCACUUGUUACUCUCGCUGGAGCUAUUCUCUCUGUUGAAGUGUUGUAAGCUUCUCGUGCCUACUGGUAUUUAUAGCUAUCAGGAUCAAAGGGUCCAUCAUUUAUGGUUAGUCAGACUAACUUAGUCUUAAUAUUCUUCUGAACAAUCUUUCACGUUUUUCAAGUAUAGUAGAUGGGUUUUGAAGUUUUUCUAACUGACUUUAUGGUCGAGAUGGACACAGAUUUUGAGAGAAAAAAUGUUUGGUGGAAGAUAUAAUGACAUAGCUUUGACAUGUUACUGGGGGACCAUCACAGUUAUGGAGUGACAUAAUGGCUUAGUCGUUUGUUUGGUAUUUGUUUUUGUUUUGGAUUCAGGCAGAUUUUGUAGAGCAACUGUUUCGUGGGAGACUAGCAGAUGAACAACUUAUGCCAACAAUGUUGAAUUCACACCACUGGCAGGUUCUGUUAUAAUACUCUCUGCUCUCAUCUUCUUGUGUACAGAUAGAAACUCCAUUAUUGAGAGGACAUUAAAACGUAUCUAUAUCAUAUGAACAUGACUGCAGACUUUCAAGUAUUUGAAGGGAAUUUUAUAUUGUUACGCUCAUGUAUUCCUGUGUUCACUCAAUGUUCUGCAAUCUCCUCUAGUUUUAAGACUGUUUACGCAUUAAACGUACUGCUGUUUUCUCAGAUGUAAGCAGAGUCUUAUCAGGUGACUCGUUAAGGAACCUACCAUGCUAUUUCAUGUCAAGUGAGAUGACCAAGAGGCAUAUCAUUCACUGCACAAUCUGUCUGCAGGUUUCCAUUCGUUAAUACCAACUGAUCAAACUUCUUAUCAUGGCCCUUUGUUCAUCUCACACUCUUUGAAUUUAACAGUACUUGAAGGCAGGUGAAAUCAUACAAGCUAACCGAGAUGUGAUCACACCUUUCACCUGUUGUGUAAUGGUUCAGCAGACAGGCCGUUAGAGAUUGAAACACCAUUGUUGCCGACCAGUGUACAUAGCUAAAACUCAAUGUCCUUAUGUGUUGUUGUAAGUCUCUUGAACCAUUAUUUCAAUCUCUAUUUAUUAAUAUAGCAACUUUAGCAUCUCCAUAAGGUUUCUACUUUUGAAUGUAUACUAUUGUAGACAUGAAUAAUAAUAAUAACACCUACAGAUAUGUUGGAAAAAAUAUAGAACUUGAUCAAGUUAUGCAUUCAUACAUUUAGUUAAACUCUUAACGUUCCUUACGUUUCUAUUGGGAAACUCAGAGACUCUUGACCUCACAACACCUACUACUCAUCUCCUAAUGUUUACAGCCAUGGGACCUUGGCGUUUGGGAGCAGGGCUCCAUUGACCUUGCUCUCGUACAAAAAGAGUCAUGAUCAGUCCCGUUCAAUACCCAUGGCUUCAACCCUCCAAGACCAUGAGCUACCUCCACAAGCGAGGACCAAGGGCUUGUGACCAUCAGCACAUCAGAACAACUUAGAAGGUAAAUCUCAGUCCACUCUCUCCUGCUCUCCAUGUUCCUCUGAGUUUUCUGGUAUUCCUUGCGGCUAGGCCUGUGAACACUGAGUAUCUCUCCUGUCACCGUCGGGUUUUCCCAGUACACGUCUCUGAUACUCUCAAAGUACCCUGGAGAAGAAGAAGAUGAGAUGAACACUGCCUUUGAUUUUCGGCUUAUAACUUGGCUUGAAGGGAGAUGUCUCUCUUUGUCUACUUCAGGAAGCAGCUCAUGUCUAACCCCACAAGCUAGAAUCUGUUCUACCAAACGCUGAAACUGAUCAUUGCUAGCAUCAGAGACCUCAAUAUGGAUUCCUAUUCUUUUAUCAGCUCUAGCAAGAUAAGCGUGAUAGUAUCGUGUGAUGAGACCCCAGACUACAUUAGUUGGGUGAAAGAGACGCUGACCCAAGAAGUAAAAAACCGUUUCUUUAACCGGGAAGAGCUUUUCAAGUUCCUGCUCAAAUGAAGAGAUGGAGAAGAGAGAGGGGACAAAGUAACCAUCUGCUCUCAUGAUCAACCACGGUGUUUCGUUAAACAAAGCUUGACUCUCCAGCUUUUGUUGGUCACUGGAAUCAAGAACAAGAUGGCGAAGAAGAGACUGUUGUUCAUUGAGCGGAAACUCUGAGGGAAGAAACCAAGAAGUGCAUGGAAACGGCUCGCAGAAAAGAUCAGCCAUUUCAGCUCCUUGUUCCACUAGUAAAACCCUGUUGGUUAAGAGAGCAUAAAGAAAAGCUGAAGCUAGACUGAGCAUUCUACUUCCAAGCUCGCCGUCAGAGUGCAACCAUAUCACAUAACUACAACCAGAGGUUCCACCAUCAGACCGAUCUCCCAACUUGAGUUUGUCAAAUGUUGAGCUAUAGAAAGUAGUAAACGGUCCACACCGUCUAUGAAGAUCUUGGUAUCUAUUGAAUCUAGAUUCCAGGUAAGAAGAUUGCUUAAAAGGCGACUCCUUUCGAUAUAAACUCGCCUCAUACCUGCUCAAGCAUGAUUCUUUAUCGAAACCAGGGACAAGAUGGUCCUUCUUCUUGCUUAACCCACCGUCUGAUUCAUUGGCUGAAACCCAGAAAAGCAACCAAAGAGUGUUUACUAAAUGCAACAUUCUUGCAAAGAAAUGAGAGUGAGAAUCUUACCUUGGUAGAAUCUGAGCUGAAGAACCCUAGAAGCUGCAACACUCUCCACAACAUCAUCAGAAGGUGGGUCUCUGAGUACCACCGACAGAGAAAACAUAACCGAAGCAACCAUAAGAACAGCAAGAAGCAGACCCAUCGAUUUCAUGGAGCUCAGACUUGGUUUCACUGCAUCCG
RNAcentral lists this long non-coding RNA (6262 nucleotides) under Brassica napus (rape). RNAcentral's name for it is "long non-coding RNA (BNAP_LNC015275)". Lineage: Eukaryota; Viridiplantae; Streptophyta; Magnoliopsida; Brassicales; Brassicaceae. The record is from RNAcentral.